GCCGAGGUGGCGAAAUUUGGUAAACGCUAUGGUUUCAGGAACCAUUGGGAGAAAUCCCUUGUGGGUUCAAAUCCCACCUUCGGCA
This 85-nucleotide transfer RNA is filed under the name Candidatus Nealsonbacteria bacterium CG_4_10_14_0_8_um_filter_37_14. RNAcentral describes it as "tRNA-Leu". It matches the Rfam family "tRNA". Rfam says of the family: Transfer RNA (tRNA) molecules are approximately 80 nucleotides in length. Their secondary structure includes four short double-helical elements and three loops (D, anti-codon, and T loops). Lineage: Bacteria; Candidatus Nealsoniibacteriota. RNAcentral also lists the same sequence under 3 other names. The record is from RNAcentral.